This 468-nucleotide ribosomal RNA is filed under the name uncultured bacterium. RNAcentral describes it as "partial 16S ribosomal RNA". It matches the Rfam family "Bacterial small subunit ribosomal RNA", at positions 28 to 507 of the family's 1533-position model. The record is from RNAcentral.
GACGAACGCUGGCGGCGUGCUUAACACAUGCAAGUCGAACGGAAAGGCCCUGCUUUUGUGGGGUGCUCGAGUGGCGAACGGGUGAGUAACACGUGAGUAACCUGCCCUUGACUUUGGGAUAACUUCAGGAAACUGGGGCUAAUACCGGAUAGGAGCUCCUGCUGCAUGGUGGGGGUUGGAAAGUUUCGGCGGUUGGGGAUGGACUCGCAGCUUAUCAGCUUGUUGGUGGGGUAGUGGCUUACCAAGGCUUUGACGGGUAGCCGGCCUGAGAGGGUGACCGGCCACAUUGGGACUGCGAUACGGCCCAGACUCCUACGGGAGGCAGCAGUGGGGAAUAUUGCACAAUGGGCGGAAGCCUGAUGCAGCAACGCCGCGUGCGGGAUGACGGCCUUCGGGUUGUAAACCGCUUUCGCCUGUGACGAAGCGUGAGUGACGGUAAUGGGUAAAGAAGCACCGGCUAACUACGUG